UCCGGAUUAGCUCCGGCAGUCCCACUAGAGUGCCAAACUUAAUUGGGGCAACUAGUAGUAAGGGUUGCGCUCGUUGCGUCACUUAAGACAACAUCUCACGACACGAGCUGACGACAGCCAUGCAGCACCUGUGUUCAGGUUCCCGAAGGCACUCUCUUAUCUCUAAAAGAUUCCUGACAUGUCAAGAGCAGGUAAGGUUCUUCGCGUUGCAUCGAAUUAAUCCACAUCAUCCACCGCUUGUGCGGGUCCCCGUCAAUUCCUUUGAGUUUUAAUCUUGCGACCGUACUCCCCAGGCGGUCUACUUCUCGCGUUAGCUUCGCUACUAAGGUUCUACCCCCAACAGCAAGUAGACAUCGUUUAGGGCGUGGACUAC
This 373-nucleotide unclassified non-coding RNA is filed under the name uncultured Gammaproteobacteria bacterium. RNAcentral's name for it is "contains 16S-23S intergenic spacer region". Lineage: Bacteria; Pseudomonadati; Pseudomonadota; Gammaproteobacteria. The record is from RNAcentral.